Molecule: long non-coding RNA, 533 nt
Organism: Ostrea edulis (European flat oyster)
Lineage: Eukaryota; Metazoa; Mollusca; Bivalvia; Ostreida; Ostreidae
Exons: 3
Source: RefSeq, a predicted model, not a curated record
UCGUGUUUUACCCAGAAAAUACAAAAUUUUGUAUAGUGUGAGUUUCCGGGUUACACACGACUUUUGUUACACACAACACCGAGCCAUAAUGGGGUGCUUACACACUUUGCAUCCUUGCCACAUUCUCGCGCAUGCGCAAAUUCAACUUCCUAAGGAAACGAGGUCGAGUGGAUGACAAUGCAAAUUUGACGCAACAGAUUAUGAGAUACAGAUGAAACAUGCAGGGAACCAUGUAAAUGAUUCUGAAAGUGGCUACCCAGGUGCUGUUUAAGGAAGCUUGUAAUAGGAGUGGAAAACCACCCAAAAACUAUGUGUCUCAAAAUGCCAGUAGAGACAUAGAAAGAAGAGAGGAACUAGCUGGGAUAUCAUUAUGAAGAACCUAACCUCCUUGGAGUCAAACUAUAUUCAGAGGGAAUGCAGAUACUGAGGCCCCCAAGCUCAUCUAGGAAGUUGGGAAGAAAAAAGCGAGGUAUUUGUAUGUCAUAAUUUGUAUUAUAUUUUGUUAUUCCCAAGCAAAUGAAGUUUAGGAGGGU